This 459-nucleotide ribosomal RNA is filed under the name uncultured bacterium. Its description in RNAcentral is "partial 16S ribosomal RNA". It matches the Rfam family "Bacterial small subunit ribosomal RNA", at positions 338 to 795 of the family's 1533-position model. The record is from RNAcentral.
CCUACGGGAGUCUGCAGUGAGGAAUAUUGGUCAAUGGCCGAGAGGCUGAACCCGCCAAGUCGCGUGAGGGAAGCCGGCCCUACGGGUUGUAAACCUCUUUUGUCUGGGAGCAAAGAGCGUCACGUGUGACUCAUUGAGAGUACCCGAAGAAAAAGCAUCGGCUAACUCCGUUCCAGCAGCCGCGGUAAUACGGAGGAUGCGAGCGUUAUCCGGAUUUAUUGGGUUUAAAGGGUGCGCAGGCGGAGGUGCAAGUCAGCGGUCAAAUUGCGGGGCGCAAACCCGUACUGCCGUUGAAACUGCAUCUCUUGAGUGCGCGAGAAGUAUGCGGAAUGCGUGGUGUAGCGGUGAAAUGCAUAGAGAGCACGCAGAACUCCGAGUGCGAAGGCAGCAUACCGGCGCGCAACUGACGCUCAUGCACGAAAGCGUGGGUAUCGAACAGGAUUAGAUACCCGAGUAGUC